UCCGGUGGUCAUAGGAGAGGGGCAACACCCGUUCCCAUGCCGAACACGGCAGUUAAGCCCUCUUCCGCCGAUGGUACUGCGGGGGCAGCCUCGUGGGAGAGUAGGUCGCUGCCGGGA
RNAcentral lists this ribosomal RNA (117 nucleotides) under Acidobacteriota bacterium. Lineage: Bacteria; Pseudomonadati; Acidobacteriota. The record is from RNAcentral.